UAUUGGUUGGUUUUUUUGCUUGAUUCUUCAACUUUAUUGGGUUCUUUAGCUUAAUCUAGAGGCCUGGAAAGUUUGUCUUUUUAUUACCGACAAUGAGAAAGCUUUAUAGGAAACUUGUGUUGAUACAAAAUCCAUUGACAAGUGUGAGGAAAAACAUCAAUUCGCACUCUGGAAGGGUGUUUAGUGAUAGAAAAUGGAUUAUCCCAUUUCUUGCAAGCUUACUUGUAUCGGUUACUUUGCCUCUCUCGUCUGAUUUCCUUCUGUGAUGGUAGCGCAAAGAAGAUGUAAACACAUUGAUGGAGCUAUCUACUCUUGAUUCUUUAUAAUGGUCGGUAGCUAUGGCGGGUCAAUCCACCGUCUAUCUGUUGCCGCUUGAUUCGCUGCUUGAUUUGGAAUUUCUUCUACCCAAAACACAUCUCCACUUCCUAUGAACGAGUCUGUGGCUAGAAUAUGAGCUGCUUUGUUUCCUUAUCUGGGAAUAAAAUUGAACUCACAUGAGUUUCAGUGUCACCGUUCGAGAAUCACCUUCCAGUAUCAUUUAAUCAAAGCCUAGGUCGAUUACGAAUUGAAUACCAUGGAUUGCAGCCACUACUUCAGUUGCAAAUGCCUAUGAGACCUGUGAGUUUACCUUGACUAUGUUGGGUGGAGGUGGAGUCCAUUUCUCGACAAUCCUGUGUUGGGGGCCAUUUAAUCUGGAAUUUGCCAAGGUAAAAUCUUUGCGCUGGCCUUUGAUGACGGUGAUGAGUUCAUCUCUGCUUGUAGUUUUUCCUUCAUGUAUCCUUUUGUUUCGAGCAAACCAUAAUGCCCAAAUACUUACAAGUAUCUAUGCAUGUUUUUCACUUGUAAAAUUCUCUAAUGCCCAUCUUAGCCAUCUUUAAAAUUCCAAUGUGAACUUUGACUGGGCC
Long non-coding RNA from Hibiscus syriacus, 905 nucleotides. RefSeq lists it as uncharacterized. The transcript has 3 exons. The record is from RefSeq and is a predicted model, not a curated record. Lineage: Eukaryota; Viridiplantae; Streptophyta; Magnoliopsida; Malvales; Malvaceae.